GCAGAGCGUCUGUCUUGUAAACAGAAUUUCGCUGCUUCGAAUCCAGCAUGAGGCA
RNAcentral lists this transfer RNA (55 nucleotides) under Angiostrongylus costaricensis. It matches the Rfam family "tRNA", at positions 18 to 71 of the family's 71-position model. Rfam says of the family: Transfer RNA (tRNA) molecules are approximately 80 nucleotides in length. Their secondary structure includes four short double-helical elements and three loops (D, anti-codon, and T loops). Lineage: Eukaryota; Metazoa; Nematoda; Chromadorea; Rhabditida; Metastrongylidae. The record is from Rfam by way of RNAcentral.